CUACAGACACAGAUGAAGAGACAUAUAGAUAGAAUCACAUUUACGUCAUACCAUUGGACGGAGCAUCCCUGAUUUCAAGACCUGGGCUUCUGCGCACUGAUCGAUGGCUCCAAGGUGGCAAAGCAUCCAUGGUCAACUGACCCUCUGUCUCUGGAUACAAAGGGAAUGAAGAGAUGAAAGGCUUUUUAUCUGAGGCUUCAAGGAGCAUCCUGGUGGGGAUAUCAUAAAAUUGCAUUGAGAUGGCCACAGUUUCACAUAAGUGGUCCUCACCAAGAUGAGAAAUUGUCAUGGAUGAUACUACAACCAAAAGACAAAUGACUGGUCCAAGGAAUGUUUCACGUGGAAAGACUAUUUUUAGAAGGGAAGAGUUAAUUUCAUAAGAAGGUGAUAUAUAAAGCUAAGAGGAAAGCUGAUGGUUUUACCGUCAUUGUAUUAAACUGUAAUAGUGUGUUAAAUAAUAUCUCAGAAUUCCUUUAGGUGACAAUUAGCAGAUCCCUUCCCAGAGAUAAUGGAAACCAGCAGUGGAUUUUAGCAAGAUAUUGGUAUGGAAAAUAGACAUGCUGAAUGGUUCCCAAACACCCCUGGGGUGGAGGAACAAUAUUAACUGUAAAAUAGCCAAAUUAAAAAUCAUUUAAAGGCAGAUUUCAAUAUGGUAUUUUCCUUUUCAAUAGAAAGCAUGAAAUUGUAUUAAGCCUCCUUUUGAUUAUUCAAAACAGCGAAAUAAGGAUCUUUGCUUUCGUACAGCAGUGGGUUUGCCGAGCAGAAGCCUUCAUUUGCCGCUACAUUUCCUUGCAUCAUGACAUAAUUGUCCCCUUGUACUCCAGUUAUGCCAUGGGUAUUGAAGUAUGCUGGGCCGUUGAGCUAAUCCUUAGUUUUAACACAGCGUUAUGCUUAGAGAAAGAUUCACAAAUAUUUUGAGUGAAGAAGGAAGCUUCAAACAGGAUAAUUAAAAUCACCUGAAACUCUUACAAGGGAAUUCGUUAAACAUAUAGUGCAUUCAGUUAAUGUCUAACCUCGCGAGUAAUCAGGAAAUGCACAUUAAAUCACCGAAGAGACAGCACUCUUCACCUAUCACAUACUGCAGUGAAUUGUAAAUUGCUACAACCUUUCUAGAAAGCAAUUUGGCAAAAUCCAUCAAGAGCCCUGAAAGAGUUCAUACCCUUUGUCAGGAUAAUAACAUCCAAGAAUCUAUUCUAAGAAAAUAAUAAAAGAUUCAAAGUUUUUUUGUA
Molecule: long non-coding RNA, 1229 nt
Organism: Felis catus (domestic cat)
Lineage: Eukaryota; Metazoa; Chordata; Mammalia; Carnivora; Felidae
Exons: 2
Source: RefSeq, a predicted model, not a curated record